UACAGAGGGGGCAAGCGUUGUUCGGAAUUACUGGGCGUAAAGGGCGCGUAGGCGGCCUUCUAAGUCGAACGUGAAAUCCCCGGGCUCAACCCGGGAACUGCGUCCGAGACUGAAAGGCUCGAAUCCGGGAGAGGGAUGUGGAAUUCCAGGUGUAGCGGUGAAAUGCGUAGAUAUCUGGAGGAACACCGGUGGCGAAGGCGGCGUUCUGGACUGCAACUGACACUGAGAGACGAAAGCCAGGGGAGCAAACGGG
Molecule: ribosomal RNA, 253 nt
Filed under: uncultured bacterium
Lineage: Bacteria
Description: partial 16S ribosomal RNA
Rfam family: Bacterial small subunit ribosomal RNA
Source: RNAcentral